CUCCCUUCCUCGUUGUGCAGAUGGCUGUUGUCUGGGACGGUGUUCUAUACAAGAAAAAAUAACACAGAUACUGAAGACCAGAGGCAAAGUUAAAGCCACUAGAGGUCAGAUCCAUCACUGGAUGAAGAUUCUAUGGUGAUAUGCAAGAUAGUCAUCAGUGUGGCGAUGGGAUAAGGCCAGUUCAGGCACCCUCUCCUCUUCUGCCCAAGGAACAAGCUGGGGACAUCUCCUUGGACACCUGGGAACGCCUCCAGAGCUAAGUCUCUUGCAAACCCUAAAAUGGCUCCCUUAAUUAAGAUAUCUACUUCCCUGCUCCCACAUCCACCCCUCCUCCAUCCCAACCAUUCCAAUCCUUCAAGCUCUU
Alexandromys fortis (reed vole) is the source of this 364-nucleotide long non-coding RNA. RefSeq lists it as uncharacterized. NCBI's taxonomy places the organism in Eukaryota, Metazoa, Chordata, Mammalia, Rodentia, Cricetidae. The transcript is spliced from 3 exons. The record is from RefSeq and is a predicted model, not a curated record.